GACGAACGCUGGCGGCGUGCCUAAUACAUGCAAGUAGAACGCUGAAGGAGGAGCUUGCUCUUCUGGAUGAGUUGCGAACGGGUGAGUAACGCGUAGGUAACCUGCCUGGUAGCGGGGGAUAACUAUUGGAAACGAUAGCUAAUACCGCAUAAGAGUAGAUGUUGCAUGACAUUUACUUAAAAGGUGCACUUGCAUCACUACCAGAUGGACCUGCGUUGUAUUAGCUAGUUGGUGGGGGAACGGCUUACCAAGGCGACGAUACAGAGCCGACCUUAGAGGGGGAUCGGCCACACUGGGACUGAGACACGGCCCAGACUCCUAAGGGAGGCAGCAGUAGGGAAUCUUCGGCAAUGGACGGAAGUCUGACCGAGCAACGCCGCGUGAGUGAAGAAGGUUUUCGGAUCGUAAAGAUCUGUUGUAAGAGAAGAACGAGUGUGAGAGUGGAAAGUUCACACUGUGACGGUAUCUUACCAGAAAGGGACGGCUAACUACGUG
RNAcentral lists this ribosomal RNA (495 nucleotides) under uncultured bacterium. Its description in RNAcentral is "partial 16S ribosomal RNA". It matches the Rfam family "Bacterial small subunit ribosomal RNA", at positions 28 to 507 of the family's 1533-position model. The record is from RNAcentral.